AACGAACGCUGGCGGCAUGCCUAACACAUGCAAGUCGAACGAGACCUUCGGGUCUAGUGGCGCACGGGUGCGUAACGCGUGGGAACCUGCCCUUAGGUUCGGAAUAACUCCCCGAAAGGGGUGCUAAUACCGGAUAAUGUCUUCGGACCAAAGAUUUAUCGCCUUUGGAUGGGCCCGCGUUGGAUUAGCUAGUUGGUAGGGUAAAAGCCUACCAAGGCGACGAUCCAUAGCUGGUCUGAGAGGAUGAUCAGCCACACUGGGACUGAGACACGGCCCAGACUCCUACGGGAGGCAGCGGUGGGGAAUAUUAGACAAUGGGCGAAAGCCUGAUCCAGCAAUGCCGCGUGAGUGAUGAAGGCCUUAGGGUUGUAAAGCUCUUUUACCCGGGAUGAUAAUGACAGUACCGGGAGAAUAAGCUCCGGCUAACUCCGUG
RNAcentral lists this ribosomal RNA (433 nucleotides) under uncultured bacterium. RNAcentral's name for it is "partial 16S ribosomal RNA". It matches the Rfam family "Bacterial small subunit ribosomal RNA", at positions 29 to 507 of the family's 1533-position model. The record is from RNAcentral.